RNAcentral lists this ribosomal RNA (1150 nucleotides) under uncultured Rozellomycota. RNAcentral's name for it is "SSU rRNA". It matches the Rfam family "Eukaryotic small subunit ribosomal RNA", at positions 474 to 1707 of the family's 1831-position model. Lineage: Eukaryota; Fungi; Rozellomycota. The record is from RNAcentral.
UAAAUAACAAUGUGGGGCCCUUUGGGUCUUGCAAUUGGAAUGAGAACAAUUUAAAUCCGUUAACGAGUAACAAUUGGAGGGCAAGUCUGGUGCCAGCAGCCGCGGUAAUUCCAGCUCCAAUAGCGUAUAUUAAAGUUGUUGCAGUUAAAAAGCUCGUAGUUGGACUUUUGGGUGUUGGAGAGCUGGUCUCGUCAAACAGACUGGUUAGCCAUGCCCUUUUCCAGCGGGUUCGCCCGCUAGGUUACUGUGAAGAAAUUAGAGUGUUCAAAGCAGGCGAAAGCUUGAAUACAUCAGCAUGGAAUAACAAGUUACGGCUUGUUGGUUGGCAAGUAUCCUUUUUUAAUAGGAACAGUUGGGGGCAUUGGUAUUUAGCAGUCAGAGGUGAAAUUCUUGGAUUUGCUAAAGACCAACUAGUGCGAAAGCAUCUGCCAAGGAUGUUUUCAUUAAUCAAGAACGAAAGUUAGGGGAUCGAAGACGAUCAGAUACCGUCGUAGUCUUAACUAUAAACGAUGCCGACUCGGGAUCGGCAGUUGUCGGAAUGCGACACUGUCGGGACCGUGUGUGAAAACAAAGUUUUUGGGUUCUGGGGGGAGUAUGGUCGCAAGGCUGAAACUUAAAGGAAUUGACGGAAGGGCACCACCAGGAGUGGAGCCUGCGGCUUAAUUUGACUCAACACGGGAAAACUCACCAGGUCCGGACAUGGGAAGGAUUGACAGAUUGAGAGCUCUUUCAUGAUUCUGUGGGUGGUGGUGCAUGGCCGUUCUUAGUUGGUGGAGUGAUUUGUCUGGUUAAUUCCGAUAACGAACGAGACCUUUUCCACUAACUAGUAUGUCGGUUCGAGAGAAUCGGCAACUUCUUAGCGGGACUGACUGCGGUUAGCAGUCGGAAGUUGGAGGCAAUAACAGGUCUGUGAUGCCCUUAGAUGUUCUGGGCUGCACGCGCGCUACACUGACAAAGGCAGCGAGUAUACCUGUGCCGAGAGGCAUGGGAAAUCUUGUGAAACUUUGUCGUGCUGGGGAUAGAUCAUUGCAAUUAUUGGUCUUGAACGAGGAAUUCCUAGUAAGCGCAAGUCAUCAGCUUGCGUUGAUUACGUCCCUGCCCUUUGUACACACCGCCCGUCGCUACUACCGAUUGAAUGGCUUAGUGAGGC